RNAcentral lists this long non-coding RNA (495 nucleotides) under Columba livia (rock pigeon). Its description in RNAcentral is "partial uncharacterized LOC102089068". The record is from RNAcentral. Lineage: Eukaryota; Metazoa; Chordata; Aves; Columbiformes; Columbidae.
UGGAAACAGUUAACUUUGCAUUUUGUUGCUGGGAAAGAAGUAUCCAACUGAUGUGAACCAUGAACCCCUUAGGAAAAUUGAAAAUACAUAGAUUCACAGCAUCUCAGAACUCAAAUUAAAUAUUUAGUGUACAGGCUGGAUCCCUCCUAAUGGAGAGUGUCUGAGACCUUACUCUAAAUAAAGUCAAGCCCAUCAUCAUCAUCCCACAGUGACAUCUUCUCUGAUCAGGACUGAAGCUGAAGCCAGUUAUGACAGUUUGAAAAUGAGAUGUAGUUGGCUGCCUUUAGUGCACGGACCUCCUCAUUAAAUAGAUACACCAAGAAUUGUUACCUAAGCAAGCCUGACAGUAAAGAAAGGAGAGACUGAGUUAGGGAGAAAAAGGGAAGAAAAAAGACAGCCUGAAGCAAGUCACUUCACACGCAGAAAGAGCCACUGAACGAAUGCUGUUCUCAUAAACAAACAAACAAAAAUACCUUGUAUAAGAAAAGAAGAGAA